This is a non-coding RNA of Elaeis guineensis (African oil palm), 649 nucleotides long. The record is from RefSeq and is a predicted model, not a curated record. Lineage: Eukaryota; Viridiplantae; Streptophyta; Magnoliopsida; Arecales; Arecaceae.
GAAUGAGAUUUUUCAUCAUCAGAUCGGCCAUAUAUUUUACCAAAAUCCGAAUGUCAGAAUGAUCCAAUGGUAGAAAAGCAUGUUCGCACAUGGAACGUGCUCUCCGUAGACAAACCUUUAUUGCAAGCCCAACCUCAUUUAUUGAUACGACCAAAGACCGUCGUCAUGAUACCAUAUUUGAAGCCAUUAGGAGAGAAAGGCGGCCAGCCAUUUUUCAGUGAAGGGUUGUAUUAUUUUGCAUGAAGCUCCCAAGUUUUCUUAUCUUCUUCCGUAUGGCUUCCUGGCUAUUUGGUCCUAAAAGGAGUUGAGGAUUGGAGUUGUCACAUGAAACAAGUUUUGGUUGAUCAUGCCCUUGCUAAUGCUAUGGAACUUGACCCUCCAAGUUAAAUUUUGUACCAAAGUUCGCAAGCUAGAAGAAGACAAGGUUCCACCAUCAAUUGAAUGGCCAUUAGGUGAAAGAGAAGUCUCAGGAUCUUUGCCUGCUAACCAAUGGCUUCAAUUAACGUCCCUAUCUAUCCUACUCUUUGUUGUUCUUUUUCUUAUUGAUGAAGAGAUUGGUAACCAGAAGGCCAACAGAACUUUUGUUGUAUGGUGCCCCUCUUUGUUAUUAUCACUCCAGAAACAAAAGAAAGAACGCUGAUUUGUGUUA